GUCCACGCUGUAAACGAUGGGUGCUAGGCGUCGGGGGAGCGACCCUCCCGGUGCCGUCGCUAACGCAAUAAGCACCCCGCCUGGGGAGUACGGCCGCAAGGUUGAAACUCAAAGGAAUUGACGGGGGCCCGCACAAGCGGUGGAGCAUGUGGUUUAAUUCGAUGCAACGCGAAGAACCUUACCUGGGCUUGACAUGUACGUGAAAGCCGGUGGAAACACCGGUCCUCCUUCGGGACGCGUACACAGGUGCUGCAUGGCUGUCGU
This 264-nucleotide ribosomal RNA is filed under the name uncultured bacterium. RNAcentral's name for it is "partial 16S ribosomal RNA". It matches the Rfam family "Bacterial small subunit ribosomal RNA", at positions 793 to 1055 of the family's 1533-position model. The record is from RNAcentral.